RNAcentral lists this long non-coding RNA (372 nucleotides) under Homo sapiens (human). RNAcentral describes it as "HSALNT0365468". Lineage: Eukaryota; Metazoa; Chordata; Mammalia; Primates; Hominidae. The record is from RNAcentral.
ACAGUGAAAAGAAGGGGAGAGAGCUCUCUGGGGUUUCUUUCACAAGGGGACUAUCCCGUUCAUGAGGACUCAACCUCCUGAUAUCAUCACCUUGGAGGCUGAGCGCUACCAGGAAUAUGAAAAACAACAACAAUAAGAGAAGAGGCAGCUGAAUGUAUUGGGAGGAACAGAGGAUUGGGAAAGAAAAGACCCAGGUUCUAGCACGGGUUCCAAACAGAAGGGCAGGGAAAAGCAAGUAAGGAAGAGAAUUCUCCGAGUGCACAGGGAGCUGGGAUGGCGCGUGCCCGUCUAUAGGGGCAGCUGGGAUGAAACCAGACUGGAGGUAUGUUGAUCGUUACUGAAUCUGGAUGAAGAUACAUGGGGGUUCAUUAC